This 345-nucleotide long non-coding RNA is filed under the name Elaeis guineensis (African oil palm). RNAcentral's name for it is "long non-coding RNA (EGUI_LNC032360)". The record is from RNAcentral. Lineage: Eukaryota; Viridiplantae; Streptophyta; Magnoliopsida; Arecales; Arecaceae.
AUUUGGCAUAAUGUUACAAUGUUUUGCCUUAACGAUUUAUCACUUCAUUGUCAAACAUGGCCAAAAUCUUGCGUAUAUUUGUGUCCACAAUGUGUUGAAUAUCCUAAAGUAUAGCCAAAAGAAAGAAUAUCAACUUCAAUAUUUGAACUUCAACCACACUUCUUUUUUUUUUUUCCUUCCCAAACUCAGUCUCUAAGAUUAGUGAUUCUAGUCAGGAUUUUCUCCUUUUUUUAUUGAGCAAAUUAAGUUAUUAUAUAUUAAGAUAGUUAACUGUGGUUGAGUUUUAGAAAAGUGAGAAUAAUAAGCUUUCACCUCAGUGUUUUUGGGCUGAGGGUUUGUAACGGU